This 253-nucleotide ribosomal RNA is filed under the name uncultured bacterium. RNAcentral describes it as "partial 16S ribosomal RNA". It matches the Rfam family "Bacterial small subunit ribosomal RNA", at positions 524 to 776 of the family's 1533-position model. The record is from RNAcentral.
UACGAAGGGAGCGAGCGUUGUUCGGAAUCACUGGGCGUAAAGCGUGCGUAGGCGGUUUUGUAAGUCAGAAGUGAAAGCCUGGGGCUCAACCUCAGAAUUGCUUUUGAGACUGCAAAGCUAGAGUAUUGGAGAGGUUAGUGGAAUUCCGAGUGUAGAGGUGAAAUUCGCAGAUAUUCGGAGGAACACCAGUGGCGAAGGCGACUAACUGGACAAUUACUGACGCUGAGGCACGAAAGCGUGGGGAUCAAACAGG